This 353-nucleotide unclassified non-coding RNA is filed under the name soil metagenome. RNAcentral describes it as "partial contains 5.8S ribosomal RNA, internal transcribed spacer 2, and large subunit ribosomal RNA". The stretch from base 1 to 120 matches the Rfam family "5.8S ribosomal RNA", at positions 35 to 154 of the family's 154-position model. The record is from RNAcentral.
GAUGAAGAACGUAGUGAAAUGCGAUAAGUAAUGUGAAUUGCAGAAUUCAGUGAAUCAUCGAAUCUUUGAACGCACAUUGCGCCCGCCAGUAUUCUGGCGGGCAUGCCUGUCCGAGCGUCAUUUCAACCCUCGAACCCCUCCGGGGGGUCGGCGUUGGGGAUCGGCCCUUUCACCGGGUGCCGGCCCCUAAAUACAGUGGCGGUCUCGCCGCAGCCUCUCAUGCGCAGUAGUUUGCACACUCGCACCGGGAGCGCGGCGCGUCCUCGUCCGUAAAACACCCCAAACUUCUGAAAUGUUGACCUCGGAUCAGGUAGGAAUACCCGCUGAACUUAAGCAUAUCAAUAAGCGGAGGA